RNAcentral lists this non-coding RNA (38 nucleotides) under Lotharella oceanica. Lineage: Eukaryota; Cercozoa; Chlorarachniophyceae. The record is from RNAcentral.
GACCCUUUUUUUUUUUUUUUUUUUUUUUUUUUUUUUUU